UUGCCUACGGGUGGCUGCAGUGGGGAAUAUUGGACAAUGGGCGAAAGCCUGAUCCAGCCAUGCCGCGUGUGUGAAGAAGGCCUUUUGGUUGUAAAGCACUUUAAGCGAGGAGGAGGAGCUUCAGGUUAAUACCCUGGAUGCUUGGACGUUACUCGCAGAAUAAGCACCGGCUAACUCUGUGCCAGCAGCCGCGGUAAUACAGAGGGUGCAAGCGUUAAUCGGAUUUACUGGGCGUAAAGCGUGCGUAGGCGGCUAAGUAAGUCAAAUGUGAAAUCCCCGAGCGUAACUUGGGAAUUGCAUUCGAUACUGGUUAGCUAGAGUAUGGGAGAGGAUGGUAGAAUUCCAGGUGUAGCGGUGAAAUGCGUAGAGAUCUGGAGGAAUACCGAUGGCGAAGGCAGCCAUCUGGCCUAAUACUGACGCUGAGGUACGAAAGCAUGGGGAGCAAACAGGAUUAGAUACCCUAGUAGUC
Molecule: ribosomal RNA, 469 nt
Filed under: uncultured Acinetobacter sp.
Lineage: Bacteria; Pseudomonadati; Pseudomonadota; Gammaproteobacteria; Moraxellales; Moraxellaceae
Description: bacterial SSU rRNA
Rfam family: Bacterial small subunit ribosomal RNA
Source: RNAcentral